Long non-coding RNA from Chinchilla lanigera (long-tailed chinchilla), 1854 nucleotides. The record is from Ensembl. Lineage: Eukaryota; Metazoa; Chordata; Mammalia; Rodentia; Chinchillidae.
CCAAACAGCGCUAAGGCAUCUACAGCAAAGCUCGAUUUCUGGUUUUGCUGAGGCUCAUGCUCACAGAUCAUGAAGACAGCCAGGCGGUGGAGGAAAUGAAGAGGCUUUCGAGGGAGGGGUGAGGGGGACACGGGCAGGUGCUGCUGGCAGUGAGUGGCUGCCUCUGCAGCUCGGAUGGCUUCUCCUGCUGCCUGCCGCCACUGCUGACCCUCGCCCAGGAGGCAGGUUGCCCAGAGGAACAAGACUUGGUGGAGGAGAAGAGGCAUCAGCUUCCCGUGGCCCCGUGUCUGCCUCUGGUAAACACCUCUGAGAAAAACUGCUUUGAGCUAACGGGCACCACUUGUCCCAAGAAUCCCCUGAAGGUCCUUGGGUGGGAUGAACUGGACCACUCACAGCAUUUGGGCCCUCAGAGCCAGCAAUGCCUCCCUGGAGAAUCUUGCCCGGUCGCUUUCACCAGGCAACAACAUCACCAUGAAGCCAGAGACCAGCAUGAACACGGCAGCCACUGCCCUCUCAGGAUCCCUUGGUGUUGUGGGCCUCCUCUUGCUCCUGGUGGGUCUCUUGGUCAUGGUCUUGAAGAAAUGGAGGCACGAGAGACUAUUUAAGAAUCAACUGAGACGUCAGACCAAUUUUCUCCACAAACCUUUGGUAAGGCAGUAAGUGAAGCCACAUACAGAGAGGGCCCUGGCCAUCUCUGCAUGUGGUUUCUUGGUGUUUCCUAGAUGGAACUGAAGUGGGUGACUGGUCAGGAAGCAAUGUGCUUGAAAACCCAGGGCUCUGCUCACCAGCCUAUAGGGAGAGCCAGGCACCUGGCUUUGUUUUUAGAAGUCCCCACUGCUUGACUAUCUAUUACUGUACUGUUUCUAAAGGAUUCUUCCUGCCAAGCUGAGGCUGUGUAUUGCAACGUGGCCCCCUGGAAAGAGGAAGACUUCACCAUCUAUGCCAAUAUGCCCCAAUUCGAUUGCCCCAGGAGGACAAGGAAGACACCAGACCAAGUGGAAUAUGCCUCUAUUGUAUUCCGCUGAUGGGACCUGGGGCACUGCGAGUGGCGGGGAAAGGACUCUGGAUCCAAACACCACUCCCGUUUUUGAUGUGUGAAUAUAUGUGUGUUUCUAAAAAAUGCACAAAACACUUGUGGGUGGAGGUUGAUGGCUAGGUAUUGCUUCUAACUUACUGGAGUCAAAGUUUGGUCCCAGUGGGAAGGAGUGACAUAGGAGACACAAAGACAUGCUUGUUCAUUGUUGUUGCCAGCUCUCCCCAAGUCCAGAGACAGGUUGUGAGAUGAAGGGGCCAGCAGCGUGCUCUCCCAAGGCAAAGGAGGUUGGGGUGAGGUGGUAGAUGCUUCCCAUCCAGGAUGUGGCUAUUCUGCCAUGCCUGGAAGUGACACCCUGUAGGACAGCAGACACACACUUGCGUAGGUGACACACGAUUGACUCUCUGCUGGACGGGAUGCCCCCAGUGGGGAGCAGGAGGGCUGCGGGUGCGUGGGAAGAGCUUCUUACUGGAGGACUUGGUGCCAUCUGGGAAAGAACUGGGGAAAGAACAAGAGGUAAGAAGUGGGCAGCACUCACUGCUAGCCUCGGGAUUUGGGGCGAUGCCUGGAACUUUGUAAUUGAUUUGCUCCUUUGUCCCCCCCAAAACAAAUCUGUGUUUAGCACUUCUGUGCUUAAGGUCCUGGAACUAUAACAAGGAACCCUACAGACAAAACAUUAUCAUCAUAGAGCGUACCAUCUAGAAUGAACAAAUGUACAAGCAAAUACCCAGCAUGUCAGGCGUUGUUAUGUCCUAUGGAGAAAAUAAAGCAGGUCAUUGGGUGGGAAGUGCUGGGUGGGAGCAGGUUUUGUACUGGACGGU